CGUGUAGGCGGUCUGUUAAGUCAUGUGUGAAAUCCCUCGGCUCAACCGGGGAACGACGCAUGAAACUGACAAGCUAGAGUACCAAAGAGGGGGUGGAAUUCCCGGUGUAGCGGUGAAAUGCGUAGAUAUCGUAAGGAAGACCAGUGGCGAAGGCGGGUCUCUGGACAGUUCCUGACGCUGAGGCACGAAGGUCAGGGGAAGGCAAACG
Molecule: ribosomal RNA, 208 nt
Filed under: uncultured bacterium
Lineage: Bacteria
Description: partial 16S ribosomal RNA
Rfam family: Bacterial small subunit ribosomal RNA
Source: RNAcentral